UCCAAAUAUUAUCAGCCAGAUUCAGUACAGAGCUCCUAUUGUACAAAUAACACAUACUUUACAACCUCUACACAUAAUAAGCUCUAACAUAUACAAGCUCUACACGUGAUACUCCAAACAUUCUCCAGAAGCUCUACAAGUAUGGCAAUCACAGUUACAAGCUCCACAUGUGAUACAGUUACAAGCUAUGUUCUUCAGCAUGGAGCUCCUUCAAUAACAAUGACAAACUAGGCACCUACUCCUGUUAGGACUGGGCCAACAGAACGGUGAUAUGCCUUCCACGGUCACCCUGAUACAUGAAUCAACAGAGAAGAAUUAGGAAAACUGGAGCCAAUAUAGCAAGAAGAGACCAUUCAAAAAAUGACAGCUAUUUAUAUUAGAAUGACAACACAAAUUUAGCUAGUAGCAUGAUUUUUGUUCUCCAGCUAGUUAAAAUGAGAUACUCAUUCAUACAAGAAAACAGAGAAAAAUGAGAUACCCAAGUGCGAGUCGUGCAAAAAACUUCACUACACCAAAUUGCACCUAAACAAUAAUACCAUUCUACUACCACAGCCAUCCAUUCAACAGGCAAGAACAAACAUUACUAGUCAGAGUACGUAGGCUUAACAUCACUAACAUCACAAAUGCACGAGAGAAUAAAGGGAACCAAGAGAGAUACCUAAGGAUGAUAGCAUCGUGAUGAUUUGGAUUAAGUUAGCAUCUGUGAGGAGGUGAAUUAUCGCCAUGGUGUGCUUGAUGAUG
This 741-nucleotide long non-coding RNA is filed under the name Triticum aestivum (bread wheat). Its description in RNAcentral is "long non-coding RNA (TAES_LNC025576)". The record is from RNAcentral. Lineage: Eukaryota; Viridiplantae; Streptophyta; Magnoliopsida; Poales; Poaceae.